CAGCACCUCAAGUGGUCAGGAUGAUUAUUGGGCCUAAAGCAUCCGUAGCCGGCGCUGUAAGUUUUCGGUUAAAUCUGUACGCUCAACGUAUGGGCUGCCGGGAAUACUACAAAGCUAGGGAGUGGGAGAGGUAGACGGUACUCGGUAGGAAGGGGUAAAAUCCUUUGAUCUAUUGAUGACCACCUGUGGCGAAGGCGGUCUACCAGAACACGUCCGACGGUGAGGGAUGAAAGCUGGGGGAACAAACCGGAUUAGAUACCCGAGUAGUCC
This 270-nucleotide ribosomal RNA is filed under the name uncultured archaeon. Its description in RNAcentral is "partial 16S ribosomal RNA". It matches the Rfam family "Archaeal small subunit ribosomal RNA", at positions 477 to 747 of the family's 1478-position model. The record is from RNAcentral.